RNAcentral lists this transfer RNA (63 nucleotides) under Sophianus sp. RNAcentral describes it as "tRNA-Gly". The record is from RNAcentral. Lineage: Eukaryota; Metazoa; Arthropoda; Insecta; Hemiptera; Miridae.
ACUUUUUUAGUAUAACAAAUUAUAUUUGACUUCCAAUCAAAAGAUCUUUAUUAAGAAAAAGUA